This 465-nucleotide ribosomal RNA is filed under the name uncultured bacterium. Its description in RNAcentral is "partial 16S ribosomal RNA". It matches the Rfam family "Bacterial small subunit ribosomal RNA", at positions 28 to 507 of the family's 1533-position model. The record is from RNAcentral.
GACGAACGCUGGCGGCGUGCUUAACACAUGCAAGUCGAACGGAAAGGCCCUGCUUGCCGGGUACUCGAGUGGCGAACGGGUGAGUAACACGUGGGUGAUCUGCCCUGCACUUCGGGAUAAGCUUGGGAAACUGGGUCUAAUACCGGAUAGGACCGCACUUUAGUGUGUGUGGUGGAAAGUUUUUUCGGUGUAGGAUGAGCUCGCGGCCUAUCAGCUUGUUGGUGGGGUAAUGGCCUACCAAGGCGGCGACGGGUAGCCGGCCUGUGAGGGUGUACGGCCACAUUGGGACUGAGGUACGGCCCAGACUCCGACGGGAGGCAGCAGGGGGGAAUAUUGCACAAGGGGCGCCAGCCUGAUGCAGCGACGCCGCGGGGGGGAUGAAGGCCUUCGGGUUGUAAACUCCUUUCGCUAGGGACGAAGCUUUUUGUGACGGUACCUAGAUAAGAAGCACCGGCUAACUACGUG